CUACGGGAGGCAGCAGUGGGGAAUAUUGCACAAUGGGCGCAAGCCUGAUGCAGCGACGCCGCGUGGGGGAUGACGGCCUUCGGGUUGUAAACCUCUUUCAAUAGGGACGAAGCGCAAGUGACGGUACCUAUAGAAGAAGCACCGGCCAACUACGUGCCAGCAGCCGCGGUAAUACGUAGGGUGCGAGCGUUGUCCGGAAUUACUGGGCGUAAAGGGCUUGUAGGUGGUUUGUCGCGUUGUUCGUGAAAUGCCACAGCUUAACUGUGGGCGUGCGGGCGAUACGGGCAGACUGGAGUACUGCAGGGGAGACUGGAAUUCCUGGUGUAGCGGUGGAAUGCGCAGAUAUCAGGAGGAACACCGGUGGCGAAGGCGGGUCUCUGGGCAGUAACUGACGCUGAGGAGCGAAAGCGUGGGGAGCGAACAGGAUUAGAUACCCUGGUAGA
Molecule: ribosomal RNA, 443 nt
Filed under: uncultured bacterium
Lineage: Bacteria
Description: bacterial SSU rRNA
Rfam family: Bacterial small subunit ribosomal RNA
Source: RNAcentral